AUAUUACUAAGCGGAGGAAAAGAAAUUAACAAAGAUUGCCUUAGUAAGGGCGACUGAACCGGCAAGAGCUCGAAAUUGGAAUCGGGGAUUCAAAGAAUCUUCGAAUUGUAAUCAAGUCCGCCGAAAUACGAGAGAUCUCUCAAUCACGUCGAAACGUGUGCCAGAGAGGGUGAAAGUCCCGUACAGAGUUCUCUCGAAACAGGGGGAUUCCACAAGAGUCGGGUUGCUUGGAACUGCAGCCCUAAGUGGGAGAUAUGAAUCUUCCAAAGCUAAAUAUGGAUGGGAGACCGAUAGCGAACAAGUACUGUGAAGGAAAGAUGAAAAGGACUUUGAAAAGAGAGUGAAAAGAUCUGAAAUCGUUGAGAAGGAAGCGGUAAAAACUGAUGGUCGUACUGACAGAUAUCGCGGCCACAAGCUGCGUAGUUCUGACCAGAGCGACGGGCAAAAUCAAGUCGAACACGCCAAAAAAGGCUUAGCCGAUUAGGGCGUGAACGGCUUGAGGGACUAAUGUGAUUUUGCCAAAAUGGUUUUUACUGU
RNAcentral lists this ribosomal RNA (537 nucleotides) under uncultured fungus. Its description in RNAcentral is "eukaryotic LSU rRNA". It matches the Rfam family "Eukaryotic large subunit ribosomal RNA", at positions 40 to 596 of the family's 3401-position model. Lineage: Eukaryota; Fungi. The record is from RNAcentral.